UAUGGUGCUUUUUCCAAGGGUGUUCACCUCUUCCCAUACCGAACAGAGAAGUUAAGCCCCUUAUGGCCGAUGGUACUUGGCUCACGCCUGGGAGAGUAGGUAGGUGCCAUAU
This 112-nucleotide ribosomal RNA is filed under the name Bacteroidota bacterium. Lineage: Bacteria; Pseudomonadati; Bacteroidota. The record is from RNAcentral.